GACCCGUCUUGAAACAAGGACCAAGGAGUCUAACAUGUGCGCGAGUCAUUGGGCUCGACAAACCCUAAAGGCGAAAUGAAAGUGAAGGCCGGGCUCGUCUCGCGCCGAGGGGUGAUGGUCGCGCUAACCAUGCCGGCCCGCAACCCCGGGGCGCCGCGUUCUCUUUGAGAUACGGCGCACCUUGAGCGUACACGUUGGUACCCGAAAGAUGGUGAACUAUGCCUGGCCAGAGCGAAGUCAGGGGAAACCCUGAUGGAGGCUCGAAACGAUUCUGACGUGCAAAUCGAUCGUCAGAGCUGGGUAUAGGGGCGAAAGACUAAUCGAACCGUCUAGUAGCUGGUUCCUUCCGA
This 350-nucleotide ribosomal RNA is filed under the name Taeniothrips eucharii. RNAcentral's name for it is "eukaryotic LSU rRNA". It matches the Rfam family "Eukaryotic large subunit ribosomal RNA", at positions 646 to 964 of the family's 3401-position model. The record is from RNAcentral. Lineage: Eukaryota; Metazoa; Arthropoda; Insecta; Thysanoptera; Thripidae.